AUUGAACGCUGGCGGCAGGCCUAACACAUGCAAGUCGAGCGGAUGAAGGGAGCUUGCUCCUGGAUUCAGCGGCGGACGGGUGAGUAAUGCCUAGGAAUCUGCCUGGUAGUGGGGGAUAACGUCCGGAAACGGGCGCUAAUACCGCAUACGUCCUGAGGGAGAAAGUGGGGGAUCUUCGGACCUCACGCUAUCAGAUGAGCCUAGGUCGGAUUAGCUAGUUGGUGGGGUAAAGGCCUACCAAGGCGACGAUCCGUAACUGGUCUGAGAGGAUGAUCAGUCACACUGGAACUGAGACACGGUCCAGACUCCUACGGGAGGCAGCAGUGGGGUAUAUUGGACAAUGGGCGAAAGCCUGAUCCAGCCAUGCCGCGUGUGUGAAGAAGGUCUUCGGAUUGUAAAGCACUUUAAGUUGGGAGGAAGGGCAGUAAGUUAAUACCUUGCUGUUUUGACGUUACCAACAGACUAAGCACCGGCUAACUUCGUG
This 484-nucleotide ribosomal RNA is filed under the name uncultured bacterium. RNAcentral describes it as "partial 16S ribosomal RNA". It matches the Rfam family "Bacterial small subunit ribosomal RNA", at positions 30 to 507 of the family's 1533-position model. The record is from RNAcentral.